GAGGGUGUAGCUCAAGUGGUAGAGCGCAUGCUUAGCACGCACGAGUCCUGGGUUCCAUCCCCAGUACCUCCU
This 72-nucleotide transfer RNA is filed under the name Camelus bactrianus (Bactrian camel). It matches the Rfam family "tRNA". Rfam says of the family: Transfer RNA (tRNA) molecules are approximately 80 nucleotides in length. Their secondary structure includes four short double-helical elements and three loops (D, anti-codon, and T loops). RNAcentral also lists the same sequence under 2 other names. Lineage: Eukaryota; Metazoa; Chordata; Mammalia; Artiodactyla; Camelidae. The record is from Rfam by way of RNAcentral.